GACGAACGCUGGCGGCGUGCUUAACACAUGCAAGUCGAACGGUGAAGCGCCUUCCUUUUUGGUGGGUGUGGAUGAGUGGCGAACGGGUGAGUAACACGUGAGUAACCUGCCCCCUUCUUCUGGAUAACCGCAUGAAAGUGUGGCUAAUACGGGAUAUUCUGGGUCUGUCGUAUGAUGGGUCUGGGAAAGAUAUUGUUUCGGUGGGGGAUGGGCUCGCGGCCUAUCAGCUUGUUGGUGGGGUGAUGGCCUACCAAGGCGGUGACGGGUAGCCGGCAUGAGAGGGUGGACGGUCACACUGGGACUGAGACACGGCCCAGACUCCUACGGGAGGCAGCAGUGGGGAAUAGUGCACAAUGGGCGAAAGCCUGAUGCAGCGACGCCGCGUGAGGGAUGGAGGCCUUCGGGUUGUGAACCUCUUUCGCCAGUGAAGCAGGCCUGCCUCGUUUGUGGGUGGGUUGACGGUAGCUGGAUAAGAAGCGCCGGCUAACUACGUA
This 494-nucleotide ribosomal RNA is filed under the name uncultured bacterium. Its description in RNAcentral is "partial 16S ribosomal RNA". It matches the Rfam family "Bacterial small subunit ribosomal RNA", at positions 28 to 507 of the family's 1533-position model. The record is from RNAcentral.